AUUGAACGCUGGCGGCAGGCCUAACACAUGCAAGUCGAACGGUAACAGGAAGAAGCUUGCUUCUUUGCUGACGAGUGGCGGACGGGUGAGUAAUGUCUGGGAAACUGCCUGAUGGAGGGGGAUAACUACUGGAAACGGUAGCUAAUACCGCAUAACGUCGCAAGACCAAAGAGGGGGACCUUCGGGCCUCUUGCCAUCGGAUGUGCCCAGAUGGGAUUAGCUAGUAGGUGGGGUAACGGCUCACCUAGGCGACGAUCCCUAGCUGGUCUGAGAGGAUGACCAGCCACACUGGAACUGAGACACGGUCCAGACCCCUACGGGAGGCAGCAGUGGGGAAUAUUGCACAAUGGGCGCAAGCCUGAUGCAGCCAUGCCGCGUGUAUGAAGAAGGCCUUCGGGUUGUAAAGUACUUUCAGCGGGGAGGAAGGGAGUAAAGUUAAUACCUUUGCUCAUUGACGUUACCCGCAGAAGAAGCACCGGCUAACCCCGUG
Molecule: ribosomal RNA, 490 nt
Filed under: uncultured bacterium
Lineage: Bacteria
Description: partial 16S ribosomal RNA
Rfam family: Bacterial small subunit ribosomal RNA
Source: RNAcentral